This 253-nucleotide ribosomal RNA is filed under the name uncultured bacterium. RNAcentral's name for it is "partial 16S ribosomal RNA". It matches the Rfam family "Bacterial small subunit ribosomal RNA", at positions 524 to 776 of the family's 1533-position model. The record is from RNAcentral.
UACGGGGGGGGCAAGCGUUGUUCGGAAUUACUGGGCGUAAAGGGCUCGUAGGCGGCCAACUAAGUCGGAUGUGAAAUCCCCAGGCUUAACCUGGGAACUGCAUCCGAUACUGGAUGGCUUGAAUCCGGGAGAGGGAUGUGGAAUUCCAGGUGUAGCGGUGAAAUGCGUAGAUAUCUGGAGGAACACCGGUGGCGAAGGCGGCAUCCUGGACCGGCAUUGACGCUGAGGCGCGAAAGCUAGGGGAGCAAACGGG